Molecule: microRNA precursor, 97 nt
Filed under: Pelobates cultripes (western spadefoot toad)
Lineage: Eukaryota; Metazoa; Chordata; Amphibia; Anura; Pelobatidae
Source: RNAcentral
UCUAUGUUUCUCUGUCCUGUUCACCCUUUUCCUAAUUUCUUAAAUCUGUAGUGAUAUAAGAAAUUAGGAAAAGGGUGAACAGGACAGAGAUGCUCCU